CCUACGGGGGGCAGCAGUCGAGAAUCAUUCACAAUGGGGGAAACCCUGAUGGUGCGACGCCGCGUGGGGGAAUGAAGGUCUUCGGAUUGUAAACCCCUGUCAUGUGGGAGCAAAUUAAAAAGAUAGUACCACAAGAGGAAGAGACGGCUAACUCUGUGCCAGCAGCCGCGGUAAUACAGAGGUCUCAAGCGUUGUUCGGAAUCACUGGGCGUAAGGCGUGCGUAGGCUGUUUCGUAAGUCGUGUGUGAAAGGCGCGGGCUCAACCCGCGGACGGCACGUGAAACUGGGAGACUAGAGUAAUGGAGGGGGAACCGGAAUUCGUGGUGUAGCAGUGAAAUGCGUAGAUAUGGAGAGGAACACUCGUGGCGAAGGCGGGUUCCUGGACAUUAACUGACGCUGAGGCACGAAGGCCAGGGGAGCGAAAGGGAUUAGAUACCCGGGUAGUC
Molecule: ribosomal RNA, 446 nt
Filed under: uncultured bacterium
Lineage: Bacteria
Description: partial 16S ribosomal RNA
Rfam family: Bacterial small subunit ribosomal RNA
Source: RNAcentral